UGUCCAAGUCCAUUCUUACAUUCACACAACUUGAGGGUCCAAUCACACAUGUCCAUUUUGGUUCUAUCAUUCUCUAUGUUCAACUACGUUAGAAGCAUACAAAUGAAGUCAAACCAAGUUCCACAUGUAGCUACCCUACUAUGCAUGAAUGGGUAUAUAUAUAUAUAUGCUCAAGAAUAGAGAAAACAGACAUAGAGGGGAAUCCAACGAUUCCGGCGUGCACCCCCCACCUCUAUUGGUCGUGUGGGUGUAGAAUAUUAAGGCCCCCGCACUUUACGAAAGCCGAUUCCGCGCCCUAUAAUCAAAAUAGUGCCACAUUAGGCCUUUUUGUACAUGAACUAUACUCUAACAUUUUCGAAAUGUUAAACGAAGUUGUCCAACGUGUUUAGGGCACCCCCAAUUAGGUUUCUACGGGGUCAAUUUGUCCCCGAAAAAUCCUAGGGCAAAAACCCCAAAUUCAAGCCCUAAUAUAGCCAUUUAGGGUUUUCCCAUGAAUCGAUCCCAACCCUACGCAAAGAAUAGCAUAGGAUCAUCUAAGAAGCAUCCUAACAAGGUUUCUAGACCUUUGGUACCAACCCUAGGGCUCCAAACAUCUCUUCCAAGGAUUUCACCAUGAGAGCACCUUGAGCUCUCAUGGGUUCCAUGGUGUUCAUGGCUCAAAAGAGCUUCUAAAGCCUCUAAGGAGCACAAAGCUCCAAAUCUCUUAACCAAAAUCCAAACCCUAGAGGAAAAACCUACAAAACUUACCUCUAAUCCAAGCUCCACCAAGAUUCUUCUUGUUGGAGAGCUCCUAGAACCUCCAAGGCACCAAAUCCACCUUCUUCUCCAACUUCUUCUUCUUC
Molecule: long non-coding RNA, 842 nt
Filed under: Ananas comosus (pineapple)
Lineage: Eukaryota; Viridiplantae; Streptophyta; Magnoliopsida; Poales; Bromeliaceae
Description: long non-coding RNA (ACOM_LNC044110)
Source: RNAcentral